GAAUUAGCAAUACAAAAUAUUACACCAGUAAUUCUAUCAUUAGGAAUGAAUCAUAAAAUAGGUUUCUAUACAAAUUCACCAUAAAAUUGUUCCUCCUAAACCCUCAUUAAGUGAGGUUUGCAAUAACAGUUUUAUUUGUAACAUCAGUUCCACUCAAAGUUUAUCUCUUGCACUUCCAUACAAAGAGUUGGAUGGCCUGAAAUUAUGAGAAUUCAGAGUAAUGAAUAGAGUAGCAGCAAACUAGUUUGCAAACAAGAAAGCAGAAUUUUUAGAGCAAUAUUCAAUAGAAUUAGUAGGAACAAUCUUAACAUCAGUAAUUUCAUCAGUGGGAACGAGCCAUAAUAUAAUUUUCUAUGACAAUUCAUCACAAAGUCCUUCCUUCGAUUAUUAAGGUGCACUAACUGUUUUAUCUAUAAUAGCAGUUUCACUCAAAAGUUCAUGUCACACCCAUACAAAGGGCUGGAUGGCCUGAGGUGCUCACAGACAGGUAUAAUAGAAGGUCAGAUGUAAGCUAACUCAUGAAGAGCCAGAUUGACAUUAAUGUGUA
RNAcentral lists this unclassified non-coding RNA (547 nucleotides) under Hevea brasiliensis (rubber tree). Lineage: Eukaryota; Viridiplantae; Streptophyta; Magnoliopsida; Malpighiales; Euphorbiaceae. The record is from RNAcentral.